Molecule: ribosomal RNA, 554 nt
Filed under: uncultured archaeon
Lineage: Archaea
Description: bacterial SSU rRNA
Rfam family: Archaeal small subunit ribosomal RNA
Source: RNAcentral
CCUUCGGGGUGCCCAGGCGCGAAAACUUUGCAAUAAGCGAAAGCUUGACAGGGCUAUCCCGAGUGCCAUCCGCUGAGGAAGGCUUUUACCCAGUCUAGAACGCUGGGGGAAUAAGGAGAGGGCAAGUCUGGUGUCAGCCGCCGCGGUAAUACCAGCUCUCCGAGUGGUGUGGAUGUUUAUUGGGCCUAAAGCAUCCGUAGCUGGCUAGGCUAGUCCCCUGUUAAAUCCACCGAAUUAAUCGUUGGAUUGCGGGGGAUACUGCUUGGCUAGGGGACGAGAGAGGCAGACGGUAUUUCCGGGGUAGGGGUGAAAUCCUAUAAUCCCGGGAAGACCACCAGUGGCGAAGGCUGUCUGCUAGAACGCGCCCGACGGUGAGGGAUGAAAGCUGGGGGAGCGAACCGGAUUAGAUACCCGGGUAGUCCCAGCUGUAAACGAUGCAGACUAGGUGUUUGGACGGCCACGUGCCGUUCUAGUGCCGCAGGGAAGCUGUUAAGUCUGCCGCCUGGGGAGUACGAUCGCAAGAUUGAAACUUAAAGGAAUUGGCGGGGGAGCAC